This 200-nucleotide ribosomal RNA is filed under the name uncultured bacterium. Its description in RNAcentral is "partial 16S ribosomal RNA". It matches the Rfam family "Bacterial small subunit ribosomal RNA", at positions 8 to 204 of the family's 1533-position model. The record is from RNAcentral.
AGAGUUUGAUCAUGGCUCAGGACGAACGCUGGCGGCGUGCCUAAUACAUGCAAGUCGAGCGAAUCUUUGGGAGCUUGCUCCUAAAGGUUAGCGGCGGACGGGUGAGUAACACGUGGGCAACCUGCCUGUAAGACUGGGAUAACUUCGGGAAACCGGAGCUAAUACCGGAUAAUUCUUUUCCUACAUUGAGGAAAAGCUGA